RNAcentral lists this unclassified non-coding RNA (209 nucleotides) under plant metagenome. Its description in RNAcentral is "partial contains small subunit ribosomal RNA, internal transcribed spacer 1, and 5.8S ribosomal RNA". The record is from RNAcentral.
CGUAGGUGAACCUGCGGAAGGAUCAUUCAUAAUAAGUGUUUUAUGGCACUUUUUUAAAUCCAUAUCCACCUUGUGUGCAAUGUCAGGGUUGAUUUUUCUCUCGAGAGGAUCAGCCCCAAACAUCAACUAUAUCUCAACUCUUUGUCUAAAAAAUAUUAUGAAUAAAACAAUUCAAAAUACAACUUUCAACAACGGAUCUCUUGGCUCUC